UCUGCUAGGAAGAUGCUACCAAAUGCAGCCCAAGACUGGUAACUCAAUGAAGCUAAGCAGUGCUGAGCCUGAUCAGGACCUGGAUGGGUGACCACAUGGGAAAACUAGGUUGCUGUUGGAA
RNAcentral lists this ribosomal RNA (121 nucleotides) under Danio rerio (zebrafish). The record is from RNAcentral. Lineage: Eukaryota; Metazoa; Chordata; Actinopteri; Cypriniformes; Danionidae.